Molecule: transfer RNA, 72 nt
Filed under: Bacteriophage sp.
Description: tRNA-Phe
Rfam family: tRNA
About the family: Transfer RNA (tRNA) molecules are approximately 80 nucleotides in length. Their secondary structure includes four short double-helical elements and three loops (D, anti-codon, and T loops).
Source: RNAcentral
GGAGGAGUAGCUCAAUGGUAGAGCGCAGGUUUGAAGAACCUGGCGUUGGGGGUUCAAUUCCCUCCUCCUCCA